This 1128-nucleotide long non-coding RNA is filed under the name Camelus dromedarius (Arabian camel). RNAcentral describes it as "lncRNA (ENSCDRG00005009684.1)". The record is from RNAcentral. Lineage: Eukaryota; Metazoa; Chordata; Mammalia; Artiodactyla; Camelidae.
CCUUGCACGCACCGACGGCCUGGCCAAUCCGUGGGGAGAGGCGCCUUACGUCACUCAUCCAGAGGGCCAAUCGGCGCUGACCGUGCUGCUCCGCCGCCAAACCUCGCGCGGGGGAAGCGGGGCAGAGGCAGGCAGGGCCGGGCGAGGGCGGUCGAAGCCGCCAGCGAUCUCGGCUGCAGCCGCCGGCGCUGCUCUGUACGCGGGGCGCGCCCUGACCCUUCCUCUUUGGGCAAGCUCGAGGGCGCGCGCGCGGUCGGCGUCCCGGGGCCUCGAACUCCAGGGCGGCGAUUGGGCAGGCCGCGGAUUGCUCACCCUGCCCCGAGCGUGAGUCCGCCGGCACUCGGCCGCCGCCAAGCGCGGGCGCCACUGGAGCGGCGGCGCCCGAAGACGCGCCUCGGGCUCGAGGAACAGCCCUGCGUGGCCACCUCGUCCUCUGCAGCCGAGCGGCGGUAUGUAUGGAAGCAUUCUGACCAGCUGCAGAAAAGAGCUCAGACUGGCUAUCCAUCUAGUUAGGUAUCUAUCUUACAAUCAAAAAUCUCUGACUUACUUAAUACUCCUUCCUGUUUGUGUAAAAUUCACUCCCAUAUUUCACCCUGGAAAGAAACACUUUGACUUGGAUUUCCCUUGAGUGGAAACAGGCAACUAUUACAUUCGACUUAUUUAUGUGAAACUUUUUCUGACUAUUCUUAUCAUCUUACCCCAAGCUUAGAGUAAUUCUCAGCCUACUAACUAGUUAUUUUUUAGGCUUUCCAUAACAAUAUGCAGAAUAGGAAGCAUUUUUUUCAUGCUGUGGCUGGAAGCAACUUUGAUGAAUUUUUUGCAUUUAAUCUACAUCUAUUUCAAAUUUUUUUAAUGUACAGUCAGUUACAAUGUGUCAAUCUCUAGUGUACAGCACAGUGUCCCAGUCAUGCAUAUACAUGCAUAUAUUCGUAUUCAUAUUACAUCUAUCUUAAGUAACCAGAUGUGUUUGGUAAAAUUUUUAUGUCCAGUGUCGGAAACUCUCACAGUUUACAUUUAUGUGUAAAUCUUAUUGUGUCUGAUAGUCCCCCAUGAAGAUACUCCCUAUUAUGUCUGCUCUUAGUCUUAGCCCUUGGAUAUCUUACACGAAUCCCACUUUUUUUCAAGAAG